Solanum tuberosum (potato) is the source of this 1381-nucleotide RNA transcript. It is a transcript of the gene named RNA-binding protein 42, with no coding region annotated. The record is from RefSeq and is a predicted model, not a curated record. NCBI's taxonomy places the organism in Eukaryota, Viridiplantae, Streptophyta, Magnoliopsida, Solanales, Solanaceae. The transcript is spliced from 6 exons.
GAAUAUUUCUAGAACUCUCUACAUUCACCUCAAAUGGUCCUUUUUCAGUAUUUUUGAUGAAUGAACUCGUUUUAUUAUCACUGCAAAAUCUAUCCAAACAAGCCCUUAAAUUCACCGAUCGGAAAAUCUCCUUUCUCAUUUCCGUCCACCGGUAAUUAUUAUGUCGACGGUGACUUCGUCGCAAUACAAUUACUUGAACGGCACAUACUUUCCGACGCCGUUUCAUCUCCAACAACAACCAUCGCAGCCCUACAUUGGCUCUGCUCCUUCGCCAAUUGCUCCUCCCGUUGUUCCUCCUGUCUAUUCUGCUCCGGCAGCUGUUCCCGACGUUUACUCUUUACCUCAGUAUUUGCAGACGCAGCAACUAUUUCAAAGAGUUGUACAAACAAUCACGCCCGAGGCAAUUGAGAAUGUGAAAGCUGCACUUGCAAGCAGUGAGAUUGAGCAAAAAGCUGAGGUGAAAAAGAAAGCUGUGCCUCGAAAGGCAGCAGGACAGACUUGGGAAGAUCCUACUCUUGCAGAGUGGCCAGAGAAUGAUUUUCGGCUAUUCUGUGGUAACCUUGGGAAUGAGGUGAAUGAUGAUGUUUUAUCAAAAGCAUUUUCAAGAUUUCCUUCUUUUAACAUGGCUAGGGUCGUGAGAGACAAGCGGACUGGUAAGACCAAGGGAUAUGGAUUUGUUAGUUUUUCCAACCCUUCAGACCUUGUCGUGGCACUUAAAGAAAUGAAUGGUAAGUGGUCUUUCCAUAUUUGUAAGGCAUAGUCUCUACUUUGCUUCUGCUACAUUAAUAUAAUCGACGUCUUAAUGGCAUAGCUUGACAUUUGAAGAUCACCAGACCGAAAUGGUAUGGGAUGAUAACCAAAUGGAUCUGAAAUUUUCCUUGUUUAUUCUGUUUGUUGAUGCCUUAUAUGGUCUCUUUCUAUCCCUUGUUUGAUGUCAUAAGGUCAAAAGAUUUGGCCCGACGGAAGAGUGUUAUCUGCAAACCCCUCCCCCAAUGCGAGAAGACUUGCUGGAUGACCCAGCACCACAACAACUAGGAGUGUGCUGUUGAAGUCAAAUUAGGGAAGUAUGUUGGGAACCGGCCAGUUCAACUUCAGAAGAGUAAGUGGAAAGACAGGAUUGACUAUGAGGCUUUGACAAGACAGAAGAAUCUGUCUCCAAAGAAAGCAAAGUCACCAAAGAAGAGCGUAUUGCACAAGUGACCGCCAAACUUAUGGAGUAUAGCUUAAUAGUAGGAGUUUUAGAUGAAAUGAAUGAUAUUGAGUAAUUGAUAGCAGUAUCUAAUUUACAAUAAUGUCAAGUAUUAAUCUAACUCCUCAAAGUCAAUUUAUUCAUGAAUCACACCUUUAAAUUGAGAUAAUUAUAAGUUUUUUGUUUAUAUUA